RNAcentral lists this transfer RNA (71 nucleotides) under Capsicum annuum. It matches the Rfam family "tRNA". Rfam says of the family: Transfer RNA (tRNA) molecules are approximately 80 nucleotides in length. Their secondary structure includes four short double-helical elements and three loops (D, anti-codon, and T loops). Lineage: Eukaryota; Viridiplantae; Streptophyta; Magnoliopsida; Solanales; Solanaceae. The record is from Rfam by way of RNAcentral.
GGCGUCAUGGCCGAGUAGUAAGGCAAAGGACUACAAAUCCGUUUUCCCCAGUUCAAAUUUGAGUGUCACCU